This 250-nucleotide non-coding RNA is filed under the name unclassified sequences. The record is from Rfam.
AAAUGCUUUGUUCACAAGCAAUAAAUAAGUGAACCUCGAACCUAUCUAGGAAUACGGCAUAGCGUUACUUCCGAACGGCAAACCAUGGCACUACGAAGUAAACGUAUGAUAGGUAAGAGUAAAGAAAACGCACUAAUCAAGCGUAGUAUAAGGCGGCAUGCAAUUAUGCAAACAUCGAGGUCCUGGAAAAACCGAUGUAAAAUAAAUAACAGCACCCGUUUAGCGAGCGUGGUGAUAGGCGUUAUAGGCU